GAUGAACGCUGGCGGCGUGCUUAACACAUGCAAGUCGAACGGGAAUUACUUUAUUGAACCUUCGGUCGAUUUAAUUUAAUUCUAGUGGCGGACGGGUGAGUAACGCGUGGGUAACCUGCCUUAUACAGGGGGAUAACAGUCAGAAAUGGCUGCUAAUACCGCAUAAGCGCACAGAGCUGCAUGGCUCGGUGUGAAAAACUCCGGUGGUAUAAGAUGGACCCGCGUUGGAUUAGCUUGUUGGUGGGGUAACGGCCCACCAAGGCGACGAUCCAUAGCCGGCGUGAGAGGGUGAACGGCCACAUUGGGACUGAGACACGGCCCAGACUCCUACGGGAGGCAGCAGUGGGGAAUAUUGCACAAUGGGGGAAACCCUGAUGCAGCGACGCCGCGUGAAGGAAGAAGUAUCUCGGUAUGUAAACUUCUAUCAGCAGGGAAGAUAGUGACGGUACCUGACUAAGAAGCCCCGGCUAACUACGUG
Molecule: ribosomal RNA, 478 nt
Filed under: uncultured bacterium
Lineage: Bacteria
Description: partial 16S ribosomal RNA
Rfam family: Bacterial small subunit ribosomal RNA
Source: RNAcentral